UACGUAGGCAGCAAGCGUUGUUCGGAUUCAUUGGGCGUAAAGGGUGUGUAGGUGGCGCCGUAAGUCGGGUGUGAAAUUUCGGAGCUUUACUCCGAAACUGCAUUCGAUACUGCGGUGCUUGAGGACUGGAGAGGAGACUGGAAUUCAUGGUGUAGCAGUGAAAUGCGUAGAGAUCAUGAGGAAGACCAGUGGCGAAGGCGGGUCUCUGGACAGUUCCUGACACUGAGACACGAAGGCCAGGGGAGCAAACGGG
This 253-nucleotide ribosomal RNA is filed under the name uncultured bacterium. RNAcentral describes it as "partial 16S ribosomal RNA". It matches the Rfam family "Bacterial small subunit ribosomal RNA", at positions 524 to 776 of the family's 1533-position model. The record is from RNAcentral.